AUGCUGAUGAUCAUCAACCACCAGUUUAGGGUCCAGAACUCUGGACUUGUAUUUCCAUCUGCAUCCUGGACACCUUCCAUCUUAGGUAAGUUCCAACAAAAAAUUUCUCAAGGGUGCAUGUUUUCCAUUUCUUACAGCAUGGAGCUAUUUUUAUUAAACGAUGGAAUGUUAUUACCAUCUUUAAGUUUGCAGUCCUAUAUUCCACCACAGUCUGACCUAAUUCUGCCAGAAUCUGGAGCACGGCAGAACCUGAGAGUGGUCGACGGGACCAGCAGGAUGAGAGCAACCAGUCCAGAUUGGAGCGGGAAGGUGGAGGACUCCAGCAGGGAGGGAGCUGGAGAAUAUGGACUCAAGAAAUUUGAUCUCCUGGAGAAUUUAGAAAAAGUUAAAGAGGAAGUGCUCAGGAGAUGGAUCUCUCAGAAGAGCCUACCUACUCAGAACUUGGAGGUGUCACCAGGCGCAGUGGCUCAUGCUUGUAAUCCCAGCACUUUGGGAGACAGAGGUGGGUGGAUUGUUUGAGCUCAGGAGCUUGACACCAGCCUGAGCAACAUGGUGAAACCCCGUGUCUACCAAAAAUACAAUAAUUAGCCAGGCAUGGUGGCCUGCAUCUGUAGUCCCAGCUACUCUGGAGGCUGAAGUAGGAGGAUCGCUGGAGCCUGGGAAGUUGAGGCUGCAGUGAGCCAUGAUUGCACCUCUGCAUUCCAGUCUGGGUGACAGAGCAAGACCCCUGUCUCAAAAAAGAAGAAAAAGGA
RNAcentral lists this long non-coding RNA (752 nucleotides) under Piliocolobus tephrosceles (Ugandan red Colobus). Its description in RNAcentral is "lncRNA (ENSPTEG00000020205.1)". The record is from RNAcentral. Lineage: Eukaryota; Metazoa; Chordata; Mammalia; Primates; Cercopithecidae.